GCUUUAGUCAUAUUUCCAACUACACACUUAACCUUUUCGGGGGUCCUAUUACCCCCCUGAACCUUUUUAUUUUUAUAUUAUUUCACCCUCAGACGCUGAUGUGUCCACAUACGUGAACUCACCUUCGUGAGGCGCGUAACAACGUAAUAAAAUGUCCAUGUGGAGUCCAAAUAAUCCUCCCAACGGUAACUUUACUCUUUAUUUAACCCAUACAUUUAUUUUUCAUUCUUUUCUCAACUCAUUUAUCUCCAUCUCUUUUGUUCUUGAACAAAAGCUCUCUCUCUUCUUUGUUCUUCAUCCACCAUUUUCAAAGCUUGAAUUUAGUUGUUGUAUCUUCUCCAACUAAGAUUGAAUUUAGGGUUUGCAAUUUUCUCGAAUUUCAUAUUGAACAAUCAAAAUCUUCCCCAAUUCGACAGCUUGAUUUUGUUUUUUCACUUUGUGUUAUUAGGGUUAGUAAUGUCAAACUCAAAAUUGAAUAAGCUAUGCAUGGAAGAAUCAGACCCAAUGCUCAAAACCAUAGUACGAUGC
RNAcentral lists this long non-coding RNA (528 nucleotides) under Solanum tuberosum (potato). RNAcentral describes it as "long non-coding RNA (STUB_LNC008544)". Lineage: Eukaryota; Viridiplantae; Streptophyta; Magnoliopsida; Solanales; Solanaceae. The record is from RNAcentral.